UACGGAAGGCAGCAGUGGGGAAUAUUGCACAAUGGGCGCAAGCCUGAUGCAGCCAUGCCGCGUGUAUGAAAAAGGCCUUCGGGUUGUAAAGUACUUUCAGUCGUGAGGAAGGUGUUAAGGUUAAUAACCUUAGCAAUUGACGUUAGCGACAGAAGAAGCACCGGCUAACUCCGUGCCAGCAGCCGCGGUAAUACGGAGGGUGCGAGCGUUAAUCGGAAUUACUGGGCGUAAAGGGCACGCAGGCGGUUAAUUAAGUUGGAUGUGAAAUCCCCGGGCUUAACCUGGGAAUGGCAUUCAAGACUGGUUAGCUAGAGUCUUGUAGAGGGGGUAGAAUUCCAUGUGUAGCGGUGAAAUGCGUAGAGAUGUGGAGGAAUACCGGUGGCGAAGGCGGCCCCUGGACAAAGACUGACGCUCGAUGUGCGAAAGCGUGGGGAGCGAAACAGGGAUUAGAUACC
RNAcentral lists this ribosomal RNA (455 nucleotides) under uncultured bacterium. Its description in RNAcentral is "bacterial SSU rRNA". It matches the Rfam family "Bacterial small subunit ribosomal RNA", at positions 340 to 786 of the family's 1533-position model. The record is from RNAcentral.